Molecule: long non-coding RNA, 561 nt
Organism: Malus domestica (apple)
Lineage: Eukaryota; Viridiplantae; Streptophyta; Magnoliopsida; Rosales; Rosaceae
Source: RefSeq, a predicted model, not a curated record
AACAUGCUCGAUUCCAAUUCUUAAUUAAGGGGGAUGAUGCAAAACCCAGAAUUUCUUUGUAAAUUGGCUUCUCCUUAGACUAUACAGGUAUAUUUAUUCUGGGUGCCUAAGGUUUUGAGUUUUGAAAUUUGUGUUUGACCAAUUAACCAUUGAGAUAGCCGUCAUAUAUGACAUUGCCAAGAUUCUCAAUUCUUAGUCUUUCAUAUUUACAAUUUGGUUCGUGGUCUUUUGACAUCUCUGCUGCUCUACCCAUUACCAAGCACAGCUCGACAAUCCCCAGCAUUAGCAACUAUCAGGGUCCUGCAAAAAUUACACAAUACUCUUUAAUUUGCAGCAAUCACUUCUGUCGCAACUGGUCGACAACAGUAAUAGUCAACCCAGUAAGAAGUGACAUAGAUUUUUCUUUGAUAUAUUUGAUAGAUAUAGCCUGAAUUGAUAUUUCUCCCUUAGCUCCCUGCGGAAUCCAUGUUGAUUAUAUGGAUUAAUUAUGCAACUUGAUUGAAGUUUGAUGUAAUUUCAUAUUGUUAAACCCCUUUAAAUGGAUGAGAAAAUAUUGUUAAA